RNAcentral lists this ribosomal RNA (738 nucleotides) under Trifolium repens (white clover). RNAcentral's name for it is "eukaryotic LSU rRNA". The stretch from base 298 to 453 matches the Rfam family "5.8S ribosomal RNA". Lineage: Eukaryota; Viridiplantae; Streptophyta; Magnoliopsida; Fabales; Fabaceae. The record is from RNAcentral.
UUGGAAGUAAAAGUCGUAACAAGGUUUCCGUAGGUGAACCUGCGGAAGGAUCAUUGUCGAUGCCUUACAUGCAGACCAACACGUGAAUCAGUUUGAACACAUAGGGUUGGUUUGAGGUGUUCAACACCUCGGCUUGCCUCUGGUUCGGAGGAGGACGAUGUUGUGCGUUCUCCUUUGUGCCAAAACACAAACCCCGGCGCUGAAUGCGUCAAGGAAUUUAAAAUUUGCUCUGAGCUCACCUGCAUGGCACCGGAGACGGUUUUCGUGCGGGUUGUGUUCUGACACAUAAUAUAGAAUGACUCUCGGCAACGGAUAUCUAGGCUCUUGCAUCGAUGAAGAACGUAGCGAAAUGCGAUACUUGGUGUGAAUUGCAGAAUCCCGUGAACCAUCGAGUCUUUGAACGCAAGUUGCGCCCGAUGCCAUUAGGUUGAGGGCACGUCUGCCUGGGCGUCACAUAUCGAAGCCUCUCGCCAAUUUCCUAUAUUGAUAGGGGUAUUGUGCAGGGCGAAUGUUGGCCUCCCGUGAGCUCUAUUGCCUCAUGGUUGGUUGAAAAUCGAGACCUUGGUAGGGUGUGCCAUGAUAGGUGGUGGCUGUGUUACGCACGAGACCAAGUAAGUCAUGUGCUGCUCUAUUGAAUUUAGGCCUCUUUUACCCACAUGCGUUUCGAAACGCUCGUGAUGAGACCUCAGGUCAGGCGGGGCUACCCGCUGAAUUUAAGCAUAUCAAUAAGCGGAGGAA